Molecule: long non-coding RNA, 192 nt
Organism: Telopea speciosissima
Lineage: Eukaryota; Viridiplantae; Streptophyta; Magnoliopsida; Proteales; Proteaceae
Exons: 3
Source: RefSeq, a predicted model, not a curated record
UAUAUUAUAGGUUUGGCCUUUUAUUUUUUUGGGUUUCAUAGUAAUAGGCUCAAUUCAUAAGCUCAUAGAGUGGGGAUAAAGUUAGUGCACGGGAUUAGUAGUUAAAUGUUUGAAUUAGAUUAGAAUACUUAAUAUCUAGAUAGAGUUCUGUUUUGAGUUUAUUUACUUUAUUGUGUGUAUGAGAGUGAUUAG